This 1796-nucleotide long non-coding RNA is filed under the name Setaria italica (foxtail millet). RNAcentral describes it as "long non-coding RNA (SITA_LNC004815)". The record is from RNAcentral. Lineage: Eukaryota; Viridiplantae; Streptophyta; Magnoliopsida; Poales; Poaceae.
GUUAAGUAGGAAGCUUGUGCAAGUGUAAACUGACAAAACUUCAGAACCCUUUUCCUAACUAAGCCGCUGAUUUAAUUUCAUUGUGAUGGGUUAAUGCAUCAGAUGUCAUCAUUUUGGAGGGCAUUUUAUUCAUCCAUGGUCACAGCAUAUUUGCUAGGUUGAAUUUGUGGUGCCUCCCUACACUGAAAUAAGUGCAGGUGUGCAUUUCCUUUAACCAAUAUUUGGGCCAAUGCAUCCUGAUAUAUGCUUAACCAACAUUUUAAAAAACUGCAGAGUCAUUAUCACUGACCACUGUGGGCAGAAUACCAGAUUCAAGAGCUGAAGCAAGGCACAAUGUCAAUUAGAGAGGCAAGCGCCGCACACGGAGGCACCAUGUGAGCAUUCAUUUUUAACCUUUCAGUUUGAUUUGGAUCCGAGAAAUUUUAGUGCUGAACAUGCUCAACAACUAUUUAGUGAGAGGCCAAAACUAUCAUACUGCCCUGUCAGGCAAUAGGCAAAGAUUUAGACUUGGAAUCUUGGAUUAACUUGCAAAGUGCCAACUGCUCAAGAAAGCUGUAGGUAGGGCUAGAUUUGGUUUUUUUUAAUGAUUUGUAUAUCAGUAAUCAUAAACAUACUGAUUCACGUUCGUUCACUGUGAGCAUUGCGAUUGCUUUCAUUUCUAUCUAUGAAAGGUCUGUGAUAUUUUUUAGCCCAACAACUUUUUGCAUAAUUCAUGACAGUUUUAAUUAUAGAACCAUAAACUAAUUGAUUCACGUUUGUUCACUGCACAACAUGGCGAGUAGUGCUUUCAUUUCUAUCUAGGAAAGAUCUGUGAUAUUUUUUAGAUCUAUAAUAUCUGCACUGUGAUUUCUAUGAUAUGCAUCACGUGUUAACAAAAAUAAAUGCUUAUCUGAAACUUUGGUGUAAGAAAUAAUUUCUGAACCUUUCAAUUGGACCAUGAUGACAUACUUAAAUAUGAAAGAAAAUGAACAAAUUGAGCCGGGUUUUUAAAAAUAAGUAGAUGCACAUCUAUUUUACUGCCAAUCGAGGUAGAAUCACACCUAUGCUCAUCGAUAGAACACAUGAAUGCUGAUGAAUGAAGUUCUAUUGUGGGUUUUGUUGAUGCCUUGAUCGGUGGUCGGUGCACUACUAAUACAUGUUUCUCGAACACGCAGGAGAGCUGUGUAUCAUUAUAUCAAGAAGAAGAAAGGGUUUGGAAACCCAUACAACACCACACACUCACAUCACGCUCACAUGCACUACUCGCCUUUUAUAGAACAAGAAACUUGACCUCGACCAUAUGAGAAUAAACACAGAACCUAACCUAGUCUGCACUUGGCACUAGAGUGAGAAGAUGGGAAAUUCCUCGAGCCCCAGCCGAACUCCAAAGGUGUAACUCUUCUGUAAAGAGUAGCAAAACCUCAUUCAGAUUAGGGUGUUUCCAUACUGACCAAAUAGCUGAUGAUACUUUGAUCAUCCUCCAAGCUGACGGUGUCCAACUGCAGAGACCUCAGGUUGCUGCUUGCUAUCAUUUUUAUUUUUUUUAAACAAAUAGCUGAUGUGAGCAGUUUUUAUCCCUGCUCAAAGCGCUUGGCAUGCUUGACAAACUGGUAGGCCAGCCUUGGCAAAUCUACAAAACAUGCUGAGUCUAAAUUGUUUGACGCAGGAAUCUGCCUGCAAACAAUUCUGAUGUAGCUCUAGGGCUUCUGUUGGAUUAUUAAUAAAAACUAAGAAGCAGCAAUUAUUUGAAUUUCUAAGGGUGCAGUUGAAAUUUUGAGCGGCAAACAGUUUGUACUAGUUUAAUUCCUUAUCAGCCG